AGAGUUUGAUCCUGGCUCAGGAUGAACGCUGGCGGCGUGCUUAACACAUGCAAGUCGAACGGGAAACCUUUUAUUGAAGCUUCGGCAGAUUUAGCUGGUUUCUAGUGGCGGACGGGUGAGUAACGCGUGGGUAACCUGCCUUAUACAGGGGGAUAACAACCAGAAAUGGUUGCUAAUACCGCAUAAGCGCACAGGACCGCAUGGUCCGGUGUGAAAAACUCCGGUGGUAUAAGAUGGACCCGCGUUGGAUUAGCUAGUUGGCAGGGUAAUGGCUCACCAAGGCGACGAUCAGUAGCCGACCUGAGAGGGUGAUCGGCCACAUUGGAACUGAGACACGGUCCAAACUCCUACGGGAGGCAGCAGUGGGGAAUAUUGCACAAUGGGCGAAAGCCUGAUGCAGCAACGCCGCGUGAGCGAUGAAGGCCUUCGGGUCGUAAAGCUCUGUCCUCAAGGAAGAUAAUGACGGUACUUGAGGAGGAAGCCCCGGCUAACUACGUGCCAGCAGCCGCGGUAAUACGUAGGGGGCUAGCGUUAUCCGGAUUUACUGGGCGUAAAGGGUGCGUAGGCGGUCUUUUAAGUCAGGAGUGAAAGGCUACGGCUCAACCGUAGUAAGCUCUUGAAACUGGAGGACUUGAGUGCAGGAGAGGAGAGUGGAAUUCCUAGUGUAGCGGUGAAAUGCGUAGAUAUUAGGAGGAACACCAGUAGCGAAGGCGGCUCUCUGGACUGUAACUGACGCUGAGGCACGAAAGCGUGGGGAGCAAACAGGAUUAGAUACCCUGGUAGUCCACGCCGUAAACGAUGAGUACUAGCUGUCGGAGGUUACCCCCUUCGGUGGCGCAGCUAACGCAUUAAGUACUCCGCCUGGGGAGUACGCUCGCAAGAGUGAAACUCAAAGGAAUUGACGGGGACCCGCACAAGUAGCGGAGCAUGUGGUUUAAUUCGAAGCAACGCGAAGAACCUUACCUAAGCUUGACAUCCUUUUGACCGAUGCCUAAUCGCAUUUUUCCCUUCGGGGACAGAAGUGACAGGUGGUGCAUGGUUGUCGUCAGCUCGUGUCGUGAGAUGUUGGGUUAAGUCCCGCAACGAGCGCAACCCUUGCCUUUAGUUGCCAUCAUUAAGUUGGGCACUCUAGAGGGACUGCCAGGGAUAACCUGGAGGAAGGUGGGGAUGACGUCAAAUCAUCAUGCCCCUUAUGCUUAGGGCUACACACGUGCUACAAUGGGUGGUACAGAGGGCAGCGAAGUCGUGAGGCCAAGCUAAUCCCUUAAAGCCAUUCUCAGUUCGGAUUGUAGGCUGAAACUCGCCUACAUGAAGCUGGAGUUACUAGUAAUCGCAGAUCAGAAUGCUGCGGUGAAUGCGUUCCCGGGUCUUGCACUCACCGCCCGUCA
RNAcentral lists this ribosomal RNA (1388 nucleotides) under uncultured bacterium. RNAcentral describes it as "16S ribosomal RNA". It matches the Rfam family "Bacterial small subunit ribosomal RNA". The record is from RNAcentral.